RNAcentral lists this ribosomal RNA (98 nucleotides) under Acanthosepion pharaonis. Lineage: Eukaryota; Metazoa; Mollusca; Cephalopoda; Sepiida; Sepiidae. The record is from RNAcentral.
AUUGAAAUAUUGGUUCCCGUACGAUCACCGAAGUUAAGCAACAUCGAGCCUGGUCAGUACCUAGAUGGGUAACCGCUUAGGAAUACCAGGUGCUGUCA